GACGAACGCUGGCGGCGUGCCUAAUACAUGCAAGUCGAACGAGAGCGCCCGGUGCUUGCCCUGGUCAAUCUAGUGGCGAACGGGUGAGUAACACGUGGGUAACCUGCCCAUCAGAGGGGGAUAACAUCCGGAAACGGAUGCUAAAACCGCAUAGGUCUUCGAGCCGCAUGGCUUGAAGAGGAAAAGAGGCGCAAGCUUCUGCUGAUGGAUGGACCCGCGGUGCAUUAGCUAGUUGGUGAGGUAACGGCUCACCAAGGCCGUGAUGCAUAGCCGACCUGAGAGGGUGAUCGGCCACAUUGGGACUGAGACACGGCCCAAACUCCUACGGGAGGCAGCAGUAGGGAAUCUUCCGCAAUGGACGCAAGUCUGACGGAGCAACGCCGCGUGAGUGAAGAAGGUUUUCGGAUCGUAAAACUCUGUUGUUAGAGAAGAACAAGUGCUAGAGUAACUGUUAGCGCCUUGACGGUAUCUAACCAGAAAGCCACGGCUAACUACGUG
Molecule: ribosomal RNA, 498 nt
Filed under: uncultured bacterium
Lineage: Bacteria
Description: partial 16S ribosomal RNA
Rfam family: Bacterial small subunit ribosomal RNA
Source: RNAcentral